RNAcentral lists this ribosomal RNA (273 nucleotides) under uncultured bacterium. Its description in RNAcentral is "partial 16S ribosomal RNA". It matches the Rfam family "Bacterial small subunit ribosomal RNA", at positions 524 to 796 of the family's 1533-position model. The record is from RNAcentral.
UACGUAGGAUGCAAGCGUUGUCCGGAUUUAUUGGGCGUAAAGCGAACGUAGGCGGCUUCUUAAGUUUGGUCUUAAAGACCGGGGCUCAACCCCGGGAGUGGACUGAAUACUGGGAGGCUAGAGGAUGUCAGAGGAAAGUGGAAUUCCUAGUGUAGCGGUGAAAUGCGUAGAUAUUAGGAGGAACACCAGUGGCGAAAGCGACUUUCUGGGACAUUUCUGACGCUGAGGUUCGAAAGCUCGGGGAGCAAACAGGAUUAGAAACCCCAGUAGUCC